RNAcentral lists this unclassified non-coding RNA (86 nucleotides) under Aquifex aeolicus. Its description in RNAcentral is "putative small non-coding RNA". The record is from RNAcentral. Lineage: Bacteria; Pseudomonadati; Aquificota; Aquificia; Aquificales; Aquificaceae.
GUUUCCGCUGUGGGAACAGGCUACAGAUAUCCCCAUCUAGUAAAGAGGGACAAGUUCGGAAGACCGAUAGGUUCUGUAAACACGCA